UUGAAAAUGUUUAAAUGUAACUUUUACUUGAUUGUCGUUUUCGAUCUGCGUUUUAGGCUUACAAAAGAUAGAAUACAAGGAAUCACGGCGCUACUUUUGUCAGUCCAAGUAAACUUGCAAAAGAACAACAAUCGACGCAAGUGUUUCAGUCCAGCCAUGCACAAGUAACACAAGUGACGUAUAUGUGCUGCCGAAGCAAGCACGAGCUGGGAGUCUGGAGGACGGCUAUAUAUACCAGUGACUUCUGGGCAUGCGCAGAUCCCCCCUGCCUUGGAUAAGAGCACAAAACACUCCGACAAAAGGAAGCUGCUCUCACUAGAGCAGAGCCCAUGAAAACCCAGACAGACACGUGGAGGGUAAGAAUACUCUAAAUCUUGGAGACAUGAAAAACUGAGUUCACAGCCGGCGUUGAACUCAAAGCUCUCAGCAGAACAAAGAUCAAACAUUCAAACUGACGUCGAGAACAAAGCCUGCCUGUCAUGCAGCUACAUGUGCUAUGUAGCAUUCUCCUGGAUAUCGUAGUUGUGAAAUUUGUUUUUAUGUUUUAAAAAGGACUAUAAAAGUCAUUAGUUGCACAGAGAUUAGUUUGUUAUGUCUUAACUAUAGCUUCAUAGAAUCUUGCUAAUAAUCUGACUUUAAGUUUUUGCUUACAGCAUUUAUCCACAAAGCUUAAAUGGAUAGUUUACAGGAAAAUAAAAGUGGCUCAGAAAA
Danio rerio (zebrafish) is the source of this 711-nucleotide non-coding RNA. Lineage: Eukaryota; Metazoa; Chordata; Actinopteri; Cypriniformes; Danionidae. The record is from Ensembl.